GCUGCAAAAAUAGAGUCAUAUUUUUGGAUAAGUCUAGUUUUCAUUUUUCAAAGAAAAGAAAAUUUACAAAAAUAUGUUUUCUUCUAAUGUAGGUUUUAAUAAAUAAACUAGUGAUUUUAGCAUUUUUGUUAGCUAUAUUUUAUUUUGGAUUGCUAUGUAACUUUUUUCUUAUAACUAGUUAAAUUUAGACAAAAAAAAUACUACAUAAUGAAAAGGUCAAAAAAAAACAAAAAAACAAAAAAACAAAAAAACAAAAGAUAAAAAUUUGCCUCACAAGAUAAGUCCCUCACGUUGGUUUUGAGAAAAUAAAUAAAAUUAGCCCUAGGCCCUCAAAAGUCUAGCGAAAUUGCCUUAAAAAAAAAAUUCCUCACGUUGAUUCCCCCUUAAAAACUCUCGACAAAAACCAAAUCCCCCUAACCACCAACUUAAACUCCCCCAUUCCUUUUUUCUCACGUCAUUUAAAAAAAAAAAAAACUAAUCCUAAUCCUAACUAAUCCCCUCACCUCUGUUCCUUUCCCCUUAAAAUUCUACACACAAAAUUAUCCAUAAAAUCUCACUCCCUCACAAUCUCUUCAAUAUACAUGACACUACACAUACACACAACUAUAUAAAAACAUACAACAACACCAAAACACACACAAAAAAUGCGCACAAAUACAAACAAUGAAAGACACAGAAAAGAAAGAGAAAAAAAAAGGCCAAAACACACAAAGUACCCAUUAAAAAAAAAUACCUAGAGCAAUUUAGGAGUUUCAAAAAGGUUUCGUAGGAGUUUGAGUUUUUCGUUCGCGGUUUCGAGUUUGUGGACCUGAAUAGCUUUGCUAGCUUUGGAAAUAUGUAGAUUAUACGUUGCUCUCCGUUGUUAACCGAAAAGAAUUUGAAGGUUACGUUCCUGAACUAGCACAGACAAACAAUUCAAAAAGGCUAUGUGUGUGGUUAUGCUCCUUAACCCCUCGAUCAAAUAGUUAUGUACUUUUCGUUUGUUGGUAUCUCAAUAUGUUGAAGUCAUCAUGUUUAUACCCAUCUGCUGCACUUAAUCAUGUUGGAUAAGCAGCUCAUUUUUUUGUUAGGUACUGGAAAGAAAAAGGAAGAAAUGGGCUUUGGGGUUACACAAAUUUAAAUAAGAAAGCAGAGAGUGGCUUAACAACAAGUGGACUUAAUAUCAUGAUUAAUCACUUUGCUUAAAUGUUAUUUAAGCCUAAUGAUUCUUGGAUGCUGAGUGUUUAAAUUAUUUGGUUAGUGCUUCUUCAUCCUAUAUUUAGCCAUGAAUCAGUUGAUAAAAUUAAUUAUACUUUGGUCAUGUGUUCGGUUACGCUCCUUGGCUAAGCAUGAAUUAAUAAUUCCAACGAGUCUUGUGUGAGGUUACUCUCCUUGGCUCCACGUUAACCCAAACAAUUGUGAGAAGAACGAGAUGAGAUACAAAUUUAUUUCAAAUCCCGUUGUCACAUAAAAAAUAAAAUAAAAUAAAAAGUAGUGGAAAGAACACGUGUGAGAGAGAGAGGCGGGUUGUGAAUUAAUUCAAAAUCCGUUGCAAAAAGAGAAUGAAUUAAAAAAAAAAAAAAAAAAAAAGCAAAUUAGGCAAGCAUAGGCAAAUAAACACAAUGUUGUCUAAAAAUAAAUUUUAGCCAAAUAUAAGUCGAUAAAAGCGACCGUGCUAGAAUCACAAGGCUCGGGAGUGCCUCAUACUUUCCCUCCGGCAGACCAAAAAUAAAAAGUCAUUUCCGUUUGAAUAGGGAUUCAUUAAGAUAACUUGGAAUACCAAAACUCAAUUCCAAGUGGCGACUCUUAAU
Lycium ferocissimum is the source of this 1790-nucleotide long non-coding RNA. RefSeq lists it as uncharacterized. The record is from RefSeq and is a predicted model, not a curated record. NCBI's taxonomy places the organism in Eukaryota, Viridiplantae, Streptophyta, Magnoliopsida, Solanales, Solanaceae. The transcript has 3 exons.